UCGGGAAUUUUGGGCAAUGGGCGAAAGCCUGACCCAGCAACGCCGCGUGAGGGAUGAAGUAUUUCGGUAUGUAAACCUCGAAAGAAUGGGAAGAAUAAAUGACGGUACCACUUAUAAGCUCCGGCUAACUACGUGCCAGCAGCCGCGGUAAUACGUAGGGAGCAAGCGUUGUUCGGAUUUACUGGGCGUAAAGGGCGCGUAGGCGGCGCGGUAAGUCACUUGUGAAAUCUCUGAGCUUAACUCAGAACGGCCAAGUGAUACUGCUGUGCUAGAGUGCGGAAGAGGCAACCGGAAUUCUUGGUGUAGCGGUGAAAUGCGUAGAUAUCAAGAGGAACACCUGAGGCGAAGGCGGGUUGCUAGGCCGACACUGACGCUGAUGCGCGAAAGCCAGGGGAGCAAAC
RNAcentral lists this ribosomal RNA (401 nucleotides) under uncultured bacterium. RNAcentral's name for it is "bacterial SSU rRNA". It matches the Rfam family "Bacterial small subunit ribosomal RNA", at positions 355 to 773 of the family's 1533-position model. The record is from RNAcentral.